Molecule: long non-coding RNA, 536 nt
Filed under: Androctonus crassicauda
Lineage: Eukaryota; Metazoa; Arthropoda; Arachnida; Scorpiones; Buthidae
Source: RNAcentral
GCAGUUUACUUUUUUUCGAUUACAAGCAUAGAAAAAUAAUAAAAAACUUCGUUACUUGUUAGUAUUGUGUAUGUGAUGUUUUGUAUGUAUGCGUAGCCGUGGCGUUGCCGGACGCUGUAUUUCUGCGCAUUUCUCCAAUCUAUGGCCCAGACAACAUUGUCACAAAAAAUCUCCAGUACCUACAUAUUGAACUGUUAGGCUGGUACUAAACGAGUCGAUUUCACCGCGCAUUCACGCCUGGGAACGACCGUUAGAAAAAUUUUGGUCGUCGUUGUGUCGCUAUCGCGUCCCUUCGAAAUCGCUAUAUGUUGUCUUAUGGGGCGUGGCCGGCGACAAAAGCCGUAUCCAGCAAGUCGGAUAUUUCGGGCGACAGACAUGCGCAGUGCGCGCGGGAAAAUCGAAGUAAUGGAUGACGCUGAAACUCGAAACGAGGUAGUCGAUGUUGAUUGGAUAGCAUUUUGUACGUCACAAGUUUCAAUAUUCCAUUUCGUUACCUCGUUGGCAAACAUAUCGUCGACAAGCGACAGACUAUAAAU